RNAcentral lists this unclassified non-coding RNA (770 nucleotides) under Hevea brasiliensis (rubber tree). Lineage: Eukaryota; Viridiplantae; Streptophyta; Magnoliopsida; Malpighiales; Euphorbiaceae. The record is from RNAcentral.
AAGAGCCCUGGAAUAUCUUCAUCUCAAUAGGAAAUCACAAAGCAUUGUCCCACAUGGCAACCUGAAAUCAACCAAUGUUCUUCUUGACGAGAACGAUAUGGUUCUUGUUUCAGACUAUGGCCUCACUUCACUACUAGCAGUUCCCGUUGCUGCUAACCGUCUGGUUUCUUACAAAUCGCCGGAAUACCAGGCUUCGAAAAAGCUUUAUAAGAAGUCUGAUGUUUGGAGUUAUGGCUGUCUUAUAUUAGAACUCCUGACAGGAAGAGUACAGGCUCACUCAGCUCCACCAGGAACCAAUGGAGUCGAUCUUUCCAGUUGGGUUCAUCGAGCUGUGAGGGAAGAGUGGACAGCUGAGAUAUUUGAUAUUGAGAUAUCUGUGCAAAGAAGUUCAACUCCUGGAAUGCUGAAACUACUGCAAAUCGCUAUGGGUUGCUGCGAUAAAUCCCCAGAGAAGCGUCCUGAAAUGACAGAAGUGGUAAGGGAGGUUGAAAGUAUAAAGCUUGUUGAAUCAGAAGAUGAAGAAGACUUGUCAAUGGAUCACUCUUUAACAGAUGAAUCUCUGUCUACAAGUGCCUCAGGGAUAAUGGGUGAUGAAAGAUGAGAUAAUUGGAUUCUGAAACAUUGCACAAUAACCAUAUUUGUUCUUUUCAUUGUGAAAAAUUAAUAAAAGAUGUAAUGUAGGUGAAUUGGUGAUGGAGAGCUCUUAGCCAACUUGAACUUUGGAAUAGGCUGGAUGAGACAUUUCUUUCCAUAAGUUGUGUAUUUCCAUG